RNAcentral lists this ribosomal RNA (633 nucleotides) under Nebria obliqua. RNAcentral describes it as "partial large subunit ribosomal RNA". It matches the Rfam family "Bacterial large subunit ribosomal RNA", at positions 1830 to 2736 of the family's 2925-position model. Lineage: Eukaryota; Metazoa; Arthropoda; Insecta; Coleoptera; Carabidae. The record is from RNAcentral.
GUCCUUUAGAUGUUAAUUUGAGGUCUAACCUGCCCACUGAAUUAUUUUAAAUGGCCGCAGUAAUUUGACUGUGCAAAGGUAGCAUAAUCAUUAGUUUUUUAAUUGAAAGCUUGUAUGAAAGGUUGGACGAAGUAAAAUCUGUCUCUAAUUAAAUUAAUUUAGAAUUUAACUUUUAAGUUAAAAGGCUUAAAUUUAACUAAAAGACGAGAAGACCCUAUAGAUCUUUAUAUUUAAAUUAAUAAAUUUAAUUAAGAAUUUUUAAAAUUUUAUUAAUUUAAUUAUUUUAUUGGGGUAAUAUAAAGAUUAAAAUAAUUCUUUUUUUUUAUUAACAUUAAUUUAUGAUUUUGAUGAUCCAAUUAUAUUGAUUUUAAGAUUAAGUUACCUUAGGGAUAACAGCGUAAUUUUUUUAGAGAGUUCUUAUCGAUAAGAAAGUUUGCGACCUCGAUGUUGGAUUAAAGAUUAUUUUAGGUGUAGAAGCUUAAAAAUUUUGGUCUGUUCGACCAUUAAAUCUUUACAUGAUCUGAGUUCAGACCGGUGUAAGCCAGGUCGGUUUCUAUCUUUAGUAAAUUAAAAUAUUUUAGUACGAAAGGACCAAUUAUUUAAUAUAAAUAUUUAAAUUUUGAUUAUUAUUAA